AGAGUUUGAUCCUGGCUCAGGACGAACGCUGGCGGCGUGCCUAAUACAUGCAAGUAGAACGCUGAAGAGAGGAGCUUGCUCUUCUUGGAUGAGUUGCGAACGGGUGAGUAACGCGUAGGUAACCUGCCUUGUAGCGGGGGAUAACUAUUGGAAACGAUAGCUAAUACCGCAUAACAAUGGGUGACACAUGUCAUUUAUUUGAAAGGGGCAAUUGCUCCACUACAAGAUGGACCUGCGUUGUAUUAGCUAGUAGGUGAGGUAACGGCUCACCUAGGCGACGAUACAUAGCCGACCUGAGAGGGUGAUCGGCCACACUGGGACUGAGACACGGCCCAGACUCCUACGGGAGGCAGCAGUAGGGAAUCUUCGGCAAUGGGGGCAACCCUGACCGAGCAACGCCGCGUGAGUGAAGAAGGUUUUCGGAUCGUAAAGCUCUGUUGUAAGUCAAGAACGAGUGUGAGAGUGGAAAGUUCACACUGUGACGGUAGCUUACCAGAAAGGGACGGCUAACUACGUGCCAGCAGCCGCGGUAAUACGUAGGUCCCGAGCGUUGUCCGGAUUUAUUGGGCGUAAAGCGAGCGCAGGCGGUUUGAUAAGUCUGAAGUUAAAGGCUGUGGCUCAACCAUAGUUCGCUUUGGAAACUGUCAAACUUGAGUGCAGAAGGGGAGAGUGGAAUUCCAUGUGUAGCGGUGAAAUGCGUAGAUAUAUGGAGGAACACCGGUGGCGAAAGCGGCUCUCUGGUCUGUAACUGACGCUGAGGCUCGAAAGCGUGGGGAGCGAACAGGAUUAGAUACCCUGGUAGUCCACGCC
RNAcentral lists this ribosomal RNA (810 nucleotides) under Streptococcus salivarius. RNAcentral describes it as "bacterial SSU rRNA". It matches the Rfam family "Bacterial small subunit ribosomal RNA", at positions 8 to 801 of the family's 1533-position model. Lineage: Bacteria; Bacillati; Bacillota; Bacilli; Lactobacillales; Streptococcaceae. The record is from RNAcentral.